UUUUAUGGAGAGUUUGAUCCUGGCUCAGGAUGAACGCUGGCGGCGUGCCUAAUACAUGCAAGUCGAGCGAACGGACGAGAAGCUUGCUUCUCUGAUGUUAGCGGCGGACGGGGGAGUAACACGUGGAUAACCUACCUAUAAGACUGGGGUAACUUCGGGAAACCGGAGCUAAUACCGGAUAAUAUUUUGAACCGCAUGGUUCAAAAGUGAAAG
This 213-nucleotide ribosomal RNA is filed under the name Staphylococcus aureus. Its description in RNAcentral is "partial 16S ribosomal RNA". It matches the Rfam family "Bacterial small subunit ribosomal RNA", at positions 1 to 206 of the family's 1533-position model. The record is from RNAcentral. Lineage: Bacteria; Bacillati; Bacillota; Bacilli; Caryophanales; Staphylococcaceae.